ACGAACGCUGGCGGCGUGCUUAACACAUGCAAGUCGAACGGAAAGGCCCUGCUUUUGUGGGGUGCUCGAGUGGCGAACGGGUGAGUAACACGUGAGUAACCUGCCCUUGACUUUGGGAUAACUUCAGGAAACUGGGGCUAAUACCGGAUAGGAGCUCCUGCUGCAUGGUGGAGGUUGGAAAGUUUCGGCGGUUGGGGAUGGACUCGCGGCUUAUCAGCUUGUUGGUGGGGUGGUGGCUUACCAAGGCUUUGACGGGUAGCCGGCCUGAGAGGGUGACCGGCCACAUUGGGACUGAGAUACGGCCCAGACUCCUACGGGAGGCAGCAGUGGGGAAUAUUGCACAAUGGGCGGAAGCCUGAUGCAGCAACGCCGCGUGCGGGAUGACGGCCUUCGGGUUGUAAACCGCUUUCGCCUGUGACGAAGCGUGAGUGACGGUAAUGGGUAAAGAAGCACCGGCCAACUACGUG
This 467-nucleotide ribosomal RNA is filed under the name uncultured bacterium. Its description in RNAcentral is "partial 16S ribosomal RNA". It matches the Rfam family "Bacterial small subunit ribosomal RNA", at positions 29 to 507 of the family's 1533-position model. The record is from RNAcentral.